GGGACACGUGGUAUCCUGUCUGAAUAUGGGGGGACCAUCCUCCAAGGCUAAAUACUCCUGACUGACCGAUAGUGAACCAGUACCGUGAGGGAAAGGCGAAAAGAACCCCGGCGAGGGGAGUGAAAAAGAACCUGAAACCGUGUACGUACAAGCAGUGGGAGCACGCUUAGGCGUGUGACUGCGUACCUUUUGUAUAAUGGGUCAGCGACUUAUAUUCUGUAGCAAGGUUAACCGAAUAGGGGAGCCGAAGGGAAACCGAGUCUUAACUGGGCGUUAAGUUGCAGGGUAUAGACCCGAAACCCGGUGAUCUAGCCAUGGGCAGGUUGAAGGUUGGGUAACACUAACUGGAGGACCGAACCGACUAAUGUUGAAAAAUUAGCGGAUGACUUGUGGCUGGGGGUGAAAGGCCAAUCAAACCGGGAGAUAGCUGGUUCUCCCCGAAAGCUAUUUAGGUAGCGCCUCGUGAAUUCAUCUCCGGGGGUAGAGCACUGUUUCGGCAAGGGGGUCAUCCCGACUUACCAACCCGAUGCAAACUGCGAAUACCGGAGAAUGUUAUCACGGGAGACACACGGCGGGUGCUAACGUCCGUCGUGAAGAGGGAAACAACCCAGACCGCCAGCUAAGGUCCCAAAGUCAUGGUUAAGUGGGAAACGAUGUGGGAAGGCCCAGACAGCCAGGAUGUUGGCUUAGAAGCAGCCAUCAUUUAAAGAAAGCGUAAUAGCUCACUGGUCGAGUCGGCCUGCGCGGAAGAUGUAACGGGGCUAAACCAUGCACCGAAGCUGCGGCAGCGACGCUGAUGCGUUGUUGGGUAGGGGAGCGUUCUGUAAGCCUGUGAAGGUGUGCUGUGAGGCAUGCUGGAGGUAUCAGAAGUGCGAAUGCUGACAUAAGUAACGAUAAAGCGGGUGAAAAGCCCGCUCGCCGGAAGACCAAGGGUUCCUGUCCAACGUUAAUCGGGGCAGGGUGAGUCGACCCCUAAGGCGAGGCCGAAAGGCGUAGUCGAUGGGAAACAGGUUAAUAUUCCUGUACUUGGUGUUACUGCGAAGGGGGGACGGAGAAGGCUAUGUUGGCCGGGCGACGGUUGUCCCGGUUUAAGCGUGUAGGCUGGUUUUC
RNAcentral lists this ribosomal RNA (1110 nucleotides) under Escherichia coli. RNAcentral's name for it is "partial 23S ribosomal RNA". It matches the Rfam family "Bacterial large subunit ribosomal RNA", at positions 419 to 1533 of the family's 2925-position model. Lineage: Bacteria; Pseudomonadati; Pseudomonadota; Gammaproteobacteria; Enterobacterales; Enterobacteriaceae. The record is from RNAcentral.